UUCUAUAAUGGCUGCUCUAACUCCGUAACUUUGAUUUUUAUUAGAAGUUUUUAGACUUGAAUUGCCUGAACAAGAGGUUUUCAAAAGAAAGAAAAUUACGAUGUAGAAAUGAGAAGGGAAGAAUAAAAAGGAAAAUUAAUCGAGGAAAUAGCAAACUUAUAAGAUUCUGAUUGCAAAUUGAAGGUAGCACUGAAGCAUUUGGUAAACUGCAAUGCCAAUGACUUACAAAAAAAAGUCGAACAAUACGAACUGUUUGGAGAAAAAUCUGUUGAUUUCUUUGUCUAAUCCACAGCGAUAAAUUUAGUAAUUCCAGGGAUAAAAUGAUGGGAGAAGAAUGUAAACAAGGCGAAGAACAACUCUUACACUCCCAAAGUAAAUUCGACCUGGAAAAGGAGACUGAUCAAGGAGCUGUCCAACGUAGUCAAAAAUAACAAAUCCACCAUCUUUUAAAUGGCUGAAAUCAACAAGAAGUAGGAAAAUAUCAUUCAGAUUCAAAGUAUUACUUUGAUAUCUAAGGAGGAUCAGCUCAAGAAAAUGUCGGAAAAAUCCGAAUAUUUCAAGUUGAAAGCGAUUAGUCUUGCAAAUGGGGUGCAGGAGCUAAAAAAGAGCAUAUCUGAACCUUGUCAAAGGGAGGCUGCCUGUGUAAUUCGCAGGUGUUCGAACUCAAAAACGCACUGAACGCAGAAAAAAACACGCAAAGAAUAAAAUAAAAAAAUCAUCGAAGACCAAUCACAGACGAUAAACCUCCAAAGUCAGGUGAAAGAAAAAUCAUCCAGUAUCUUGAGGAGGAAAUUGGGAAAAUUAACGACAAACAUUUUCUCCUUAUCAUUUCAAAUGCUUGAGUGCCAGUAAAUCCAACUCUUAGACGAGAUAAACGAUCGAAGAGAUGCUCCAUCAAAAUAAGGACAUGUGUGGUGAUAAUGAGACCAACUGAAGAACGAAGAACAGCAAAUAACUGAGCAAAAAAGGAAUGGGAUUCGCAGAAAGAAUCUCUAAAAAAAAAAGCAGUCUGCGCAGCAAAGUUCGCCAAAAGGAAGCGCAGCAAAGGAAGGACCAGAUCCUCCUCACCAAAAUUCUUCAUGAAAAAGAUGAGCAACUAAUAGUGGUAAACCCAAAAAUAUCAAACAUCAAACAUAUCACCAAAGACAUUUCGGAACCGAGAGAAAUGCUCAUGAAAGAGUUGUUUUUUAGUGAUAACCUCCGUAGUGGAUUUUCAUCAGAGGCAAAUAAUAUGGAAAAAACAUCCAUGUACUCCUCUUGUUCCAACUGCUGCAGGAAAUCGGAGUGUUACAGGAUAAGUCACAUAUCGGCGAAAUGUGAUAAUUAUUAUGAUAGUUAUCACGGGCGUGGGAAUAUCCAAAAAAUUCAAGAGGAGCCUAGUAAGGAUAUGUGAUGAAUAUUUUUGUAAAUAGAUGUUAUUUUGUUUAUA
Molecule: long non-coding RNA, 1429 nt
Filed under: Anthonomus grandis grandis
Lineage: Eukaryota; Metazoa; Arthropoda; Insecta; Coleoptera; Curculionidae
Description: uncharacterized LOC126744002
Source: RNAcentral